Molecule: transfer RNA, 73 nt
Filed under: Marmota monax (woodchuck)
Lineage: Eukaryota; Metazoa; Chordata; Mammalia; Rodentia; Sciuridae
Description: tRNA.Undet
Source: RNAcentral
GCUCAGAGCUCAGUGAUAGAGUGCUUGAAACUAGUAUGCAUGAGGUCCUGGGUUCCAUUCCCAGCACUGAAUG